GAUGAAUGCUGGCGGCGUGCCUAAUACAUGCAAGUCGAGCGAACAGACGAGGAGCUUGCUCCUCUGACGUUAGCGGCGGACGGGUGAGUAACACGUGGAUAACCUACCUAUAAGACUGGGAUAACUUCGGGAAACCGGAGCUAAUACCGGAUAAUAUUUUGAACCGCAUGGUUCAAUAGUGAAAGACGGUUUUGCUUUCACUUAUAGAUGGAUCCGCGCCGCAUUAGCUAGUUGGUAAGGUAACGGCUUACCAAGGCAACGAUGCGUAGCCGACCUGAGAGGGUGAUCGGCCACACUGGAACUGAGACACGGUCCAGACUCCUACGGGAGGCAGCAGUAGGGAAUCUUCCGCAAUGGGCGAAAGCCUGACGGAGCAACGCCGCGUGAGUGAUGAAGGUCUUCGGAUCGUAAAACUCUGUUAUUAGGGAAGAACAAAUGUGUAAGUAACUAUGCACGUCUUGACGGUACCUAAUCAGAAAGCCACGGCUAACUACGUG
Molecule: ribosomal RNA, 497 nt
Filed under: uncultured bacterium
Lineage: Bacteria
Description: partial 16S ribosomal RNA
Rfam family: Bacterial small subunit ribosomal RNA
Source: RNAcentral